CACGGCUGUCGUCAGCUCGUGUCGUGAGAUGUUGGGUUAAGUCCCGCAACGAGCGCAACCCUCGAAUUUAGUUACUAACAGUUAGGCUGAGGACUCUAGAUUGACUGCCUGGGUAACCAGGAGGAAGGUGAGGACGACGUCAAGUCAUCAUGGCCCUUACGGCCAGGGCUACACACGUGCUACAAUGGGGUAUACAAAGAGCCGCGAUACCGCGAGGUGGAGCAAAUCUCAUAAAAUAUCUCCCAGUUCGGAUAGUAGUCUGCAACUCGACUACUUGAAGUUGGAAUCGCUAGUAAUCGUAAAUCAGCAAUGUUACGGUGAAUACGUUCCCGGGUCUUGUACUCACCGCCCGUCACACCAUGGGAAUUGAAUUCAUUCGAAGCGGGGAUGCUAAAAUAGCUACCUUCCACAGUGGAUUUAGUAACUAGGGUGAAGUCAUAACAAGGUA
Molecule: ribosomal RNA, 448 nt
Filed under: uncultured bacterium
Lineage: Bacteria
Description: bacterial SSU rRNA
Rfam family: Bacterial small subunit ribosomal RNA
Source: RNAcentral